This 726-nucleotide ribosomal RNA is filed under the name uncultured eukaryote. RNAcentral's name for it is "SSU rRNA". It matches the Rfam family "Eukaryotic small subunit ribosomal RNA", at positions 674 to 1426 of the family's 1831-position model. The record is from RNAcentral.
GGGCGGUACUACGCUCGUCGGCUUUGGGCCGGUCUUCGGACGGUUGUCUUUAUUGGCAGCCGCUCGUGGCUGGCUGGUUUACUUUGAGCAAAUCAGAGUGCUCAGCACAGGCGUCUUGCCGGAAUGUUCGUGCAUGGAAUAAUAGAAAAGGAUUUCGGUCCUCUUUUAUUGGUUUUGUGGACUGAGAUAAUGGUUAACAGAGACGAACGAAGGCAUUCGUAUUGCUACGUGAGAGGUGAAAUUCUUGGACCGUAGCAGGACGGACUACAGCGAAAGCAUUUGCCAAGCGCGUCUUCAUUAAUCAAGAACGAAAGUCAGAGGUUCGAAGGCGAUCAGAUACCGCCCUAGUUCUGACCGUAAACGAUGCCAACUAGCGAUCCGCCGGUGGCUUCUGGCCCUGGUGGGGAGCUUCCCGGAAACGAAAGUCUUCCGGUUCCGGGGGAAGUAUGGUUGCAAAGCUGAAACUUAAAGGAAUUGACGGAAGGGCACCACCAGGAGUGGAGCCUGCGGCUUAAUUUGACUCAACACGGGAAAACUCACCCGGCCCGGACACCGUAAGGAUUGACAGAUUGAUAGCUUUUUCAUGAUUCGGUGGAUGGUGGUGCAUGGCCGUUCUUAGUUCGUGGAUCGAUUUGUCUGGUUUAUUCCGAUAACGAGCGAGACUCUAGCCUACUAACUAGUGUGGGCAUUGCCACUGUGCUCGUCACUUCUUAGAGGGAUCGGCUG